This is a long non-coding RNA of Cryptotermes secundus, 413 nucleotides long. RefSeq lists it as uncharacterized. The transcript has 4 exons. NCBI's taxonomy places the organism in Eukaryota, Metazoa, Arthropoda, Insecta, Blattodea, Kalotermitidae. The record is from RefSeq and is a predicted model, not a curated record.
CCUAAAAAGGAAAGAAGGCACAACAAACUCUUCGGCUGGUGCAGAAAAAAACCAAGGGAUACGAACACUGUUGACUCUUCCAAAGAUGUAGUACCUCCAAAGAAUGAGCGAAGCAGUUCCCUUACUCAAGUGCUCCAGGAAGAAACUCUGGAAAGUGUUCCCUUCGCUAGACUCACAUAGCCACAGGGUAGCAUGAGUGAGCCACCGAAGCCAGAGUCUAGGAGCGUCGAGAGUAAUCAAUCUCUUGGGAACAGUGUGGAAAAGAUCAUACAAGAUCUGGACCAUUUCAGCAAAGAAUCUGUGGUCCGCACAUCGAACGUCGAAUCGGAAAUCAGCGGCCAUGACAAGAAGGAAAAGACACCUAAAAGGGAAAGAAGCCUCAGCAAACUCUGCGGGUGGCGCAGAACAAAACC